AUGGAGCAGUUGAAGAUCUGGCCAUCAGUCCCUGUUUACAAAGCCCACUCGGUCGACGGUACCAGGCGUGACGGCGGAGGGAUUUUCAGGUGCCGGGGCAGCAUGGUGGCCAGCUGCAGCGCUCGAUGGCGGUGGAUAUGGGUGCCCCCUGCCCAAAUUCGUCCUGAUGUGGGUGGUGUGGUUGCCCGUGUUGUCGACGGCGGUCUUGGGCGCUGUUUGGCUGUGCGUCCGGGGUGGUUCUCCCCUCCGGUGAUGAUUGAGGUGGUCGUUUCCACCGCUGGCGCGGCGGGUCUGGAUGUGGCCAGAUCCGUGUCCGGCGUUGUCGGGGUCGGCUUUGUUCCGGCUACUGGCACGGCGGGUCUGGAUGUGGCCAGAUCUGUGGUCGGCGUUGUCAGGGGCGGCUUUGUUCCGGCUGCUGGUGCGCGCGGAUGGUGGGACUUUGGUGGGCUCUAUCUUGCUGUGACUCUCGGAUCCCAGGAUGGCGGUCCACCAAGACGGUCCGGCGUGGAUGUCUGGCUGCGGCCGUCGUUGGUGGAGGAGAGGCCGGCGGGGUCCGGUGUCAUCUUGUUUGUCGAUGAUGGGUGUAUCUUGUCCUUCAUGAAGUGUGACGACACCCGCAGGUGCCGUGUCCUCCUUGGAGGUGCUUUCAUGGCCAUUGUUGUGUCUCUCCUAGAGCGCAGCGGAAACCCUUGUUCCAGUUCAUUGGAACAGGCAGCGGUGGCAUCACGAUGGCCACGGCGCUUCCUUGGCGAUUCACGCAGUCCUCAGAAUUGGAGCUUGGGGCAAUUCGGUUUGGUUGUGGUCGCCGCUAAGGUCAUGGGCCAUUGGGGCACAAUGUAUGCCAUGGCCAAUGCUUCCGGCAUGUGUUCUUCCUUUGGAUCGGCUAAGUCCUCCCACCCACUUGCCAACUUCUCUAGGCACUAUAGGUGGGGCGCUAGAGAUCGGGCACGUGUUUUGAUCCGGGGCUUCGAGACCUUUUACUCUAAAAGAGAACUUGUAGAUAACCCGCGCCAGCUUUUAUCCAGCGGUGCGUCCCACAAGCAGGCAAACAGCGCGAAUGGGCGGGACGCGUGCUCUCCCCCUGGCCCGCCCGCCAGGGACACAAUGUUCCCAUUUCUCCCUUCUCCCCCAAAACCCCCCAGCCCUCCUGGUCCUACCAUGGGCACCACCCCGAAGCGCGCCGCCGCUGCCUUACUGACCGCCACCAAUGACCUUCCCGUGGCCUUGAAGAUGAAACCCAAGAAGGUGCUCUCACGGGAGCAGCCCGCCCGAGAAAUGUCAGAGGAAAGGCCGGAGGACCACUGUCGCCAAGCUCCUCCACAACCACUGACGGGUGGGCUUCAUCCACCGUACGAGCAUGCUGACCCGCUUCUCCACGCCGCCGGACGGCCACGCGAUUGCGCAGGCCACCGCCUCCCCCACAGCCAGCAUCGACCUCUAAGUCACGCCUGGGUCCGGAGAUUGUGCGCCAGCGAAGGUCGGACCGAUUUGACACAAAAGAUGACUAGAGCACCGAAUUUUCCUGAUAGCUCCAGGAAAUUGCUGCCAGAUAAAAAGGCUAAAGAGAUUUGCUCAAAGUCCCGCGGACGGCACCCGCGGCGGUAUUCUUCUUCUGUGGGACGAAGACAAGGUCGAAUGAUCCAACACCAGAUGGGCAAAUUUUGUUUACCGGCAGAGGUUCUCAUCUUAGCGUCCAAUGAGAGUUUCAAGAUUACGACGGUAUACGGACAAACAACUUCAAACCGGAAAGAGGACUUUCACACCGAGCUCCUAGUACAUAAGCCACCCCCGGUGAUCGCUGGCUUUGGGACACCUCCUUCCACGUUCAUAUACUGCAUGCGCAUCAUUGUCAGAUCACUGCCCGCUGUUACUUUCACAGGUUUUAAGCACGUUGUACAAGAGGCUUGGGCAACACCAUCUGAACAUGCCGAAUCUUGGCACAUUCUGUUCCAUAAACUACGAAAAACUGCCUACAUGCUCAAGUUGGAGCAAGCCACGAAAAAGCAAUGUGCAAGGGUAAAGAACCUGAAAGAAGGGGACGCUAAUACCAAGUAUUUUCAUCUAAGGGUCAAUGCGAGAAGAAGGAAGAACAUCAUCCACAGGCUCAGAGUGGGUCCAAGUUGGGUAACCUCCCAUGAGGAAAAGGAAAAGGUUGCACCGGAUCACUUCUCCGCGAUUCUCCAAAAAGGGCCACCUCAAGCCUGA
Molecule: ribosomal RNA, 2205 nt
Filed under: Triticum aestivum (bread wheat)
Lineage: Eukaryota; Viridiplantae; Streptophyta; Magnoliopsida; Poales; Poaceae
Description: partial small subunit ribosomal RNA
Source: RNAcentral